This 1833-nucleotide long non-coding RNA is filed under the name Salmo salar (Atlantic salmon). Its description in RNAcentral is "lncRNA (ENSSSAG00000108098.1, ENSSSAG00000110947.1)". The record is from RNAcentral. Lineage: Eukaryota; Metazoa; Chordata; Actinopteri; Salmoniformes; Salmonidae.
GAAAUUUAGUUGCUCCAGCUGUACAUAUGUAAACCCAGUAUAAAUAAGUCUAGGGGGGAGUUCACCAAUUUCUGACAUCUUUCAGCAGUGUGGAGACGGCUCAGGAAACACAUGCCUUCCAAGGGGCUAAAACCUUGAUAAGACAAGGAGUCCAGGGACAAAUGACUGAACAAUAUGGACCUCUGCUCAGUGUACUUCUAGUCUCAGAUAUAUAGUAUCUGGCGCCCCAGGGUCUGAUGGGUAUUUCCAUCACAGAGAGAGGAGGAUAAAAAGAAAACGCUCGACAUGGAAACUCCCAGCAAAUCCUGGAAAUGAAACAAAUAACCCGCAGCCAGAACAGGAAAUUAUCCAGCAGGGAGAGUAACAAAGCAGCCUCCUCCAAUGAAGAACGAAUAGGAGGUCAUACCAUAGACAUCAGUGGAGGCUGCGGAAGGAAGAACGGCUCAUAAUAAUGGCUGGAACGGAGCAAAUGGAAUGGCACCAAACCAUGUGUUUAAUGUAUUUGAUACCAUUCCACUCAUUCCACUCCAGCCAUUACCACGAGCGUGUCCUCCCCAAUUAAGAUGCCACCAACCUCCUGUGAUAGACAUAGGCGGAGUUCCCUUCAGGACUUAGUCACCGCAUUGACACUCAUUGGGAGGUGUUCUGGAUUUCAGUGGUGCGUUUGUUGGAUCACUUGUCAAGUUAAAAUAACUUAGGUGGUAAGGGAAAGUUGGAAAUGUGGGAUCAAUAGGUUUUCUCAAUAGGAUCAAAAAGCAGGGAUGUGUAUCUAUCCAAGCCCCUAUGAAUUCCAUCUGAAUUACUGUAUCGCUCCAAGAGUGUCCAAGAGUGUGACUCAUCUUGGAAUUGGUUGACCUUUAGAGCAGGGUUCCCCAACUGGUGGCUCACAAUAAUGGUUGGAAAGGAGCGAAUGGAAUUAAGGUGCCACCAACCUCCUGUGAUACAGGCAUGCAUUUCAAUUGCCUUGAAUAAACCUGUCUAUGUAAAAAGACAAUAUUUAUUCAUUAAUGUGUUUGCAACACUACUGUUAUUUAAUAUACUACUUACUAUUUACUUUCAUCCUUUCUUACAUUUGGACAGCUGAAGCAAGCACACAACUUUUCUUCAGAGCAGAGGAAAAGAAAAGGCCUAUCUCAAGGAGACAGACUAGCCAUAUCUCCAUUAGACACACAGCAUCUGGAAGUGAGCCCCUCUGGAAAACCACCUCUUUGAGGAAGUCCCAAAUGGCACCCUGUUGCCUAUAUAGUGCACUAAUUUUGACCAAGACUCAUUACAAGAAGUGCACUAUAAAGGGAUAGGGUUUCUUUUGGACAGAGGUGUAAAGUAACUAAUUACAGCUACUCUUGUUACUGUAAUUGACUAGCUUUUCCGAGUACUUAUACUUUGAGUAUUUUUGAAAGUCAGUAAUUUUACUUAUACUUGAGGAAAAUUGAAUUAUAGUAACAGUACUUCUAGUUGAGUAGGAUAUUUCACUGCUCUUAAAAGAUACAUUUUGUGAGUGAGGGACUGAGUGAGUGAAGGAAAGAGUGUGAAUGGGGGAGUGAGUGAAUAUCAGCCGGUCCCCUGGACAAGUAACAAGUAACAGAGGGGGGAAUGAGGGAUUGAAUAAGUGAAAGAAUUAGACAUGUUUAUUUAUGGAGUCUGUAUGUAGAAGUACUGUAUAUAGAAGUCUGGCAACUUUGUUUAUUAACUUUAUUUUGUAUAUAUUUUUUUACCAAUACAUCUUCAUUUACUUGAAUGUUUAAGUUGACAAAUGUUAAUAGUAUAUUUUUGACAAAUCCUUCGUUUUCACAUGUAGAUGUGCCUUGCUGCAACUCAUAAAAUAAAUAAAAC